UUGGAUUCCAUUUGUCAUCCUAAACCUCGUUCUUGGCUUAUUAUUGAUCGAAUCUUAAGAUAUUUUUCUCAACGAUCUAUUUUUUGAAUGAUGAAUUAUAAGAAGAAGUUUCUAUUAUACAAUCUGAGGGUUUUAUAGUUGAUGGGAAAGAUAAAAAGGUGUACAAGUUGAAGAAAGCUUUAUAUGGAUUGAAGCAAGCUCCAAAGGUGUGGUAUAAUAAGAUUGAUUCUUAUUUUCAUCAAAAUGGAUUUGAGAGAAGUGAGAAUGAACCC
Molecule: long non-coding RNA, 272 nt
Filed under: Elaeis guineensis (African oil palm)
Lineage: Eukaryota; Viridiplantae; Streptophyta; Magnoliopsida; Arecales; Arecaceae
Description: long non-coding RNA (EGUI_LNC001899)
Source: RNAcentral